This 835-nucleotide ribosomal RNA is filed under the name uncultured Actinomycetes bacterium. Its description in RNAcentral is "bacterial SSU rRNA". It matches the Rfam family "Bacterial small subunit ribosomal RNA", at positions 41 to 885 of the family's 1533-position model. The record is from RNAcentral. Lineage: Bacteria; Bacillati; Actinomycetota; Actinomycetes.
GGCGUGCUUAACACAUGCAAGUCGAACGAUGAAGCUGGAGCUUGCUCCGGUGGAUUAGUGGCGAACGGGUGAGUAACACGUGAGCAAUCUGCCCUUGACUCUGGGAUAACUGCGGGAAACUGUAGCUAAUACCGGAUACGACACCUUGGGGCAUCCCAGGGUGUGGAAAGAAUUUCGGUCAAGGAUGAGCUCGCGGCCUAUCAGCUAGUUGGUGAGGUAAUGGCUCACCAAGGCGACGACGGGUAGCCGGCCUGAGAGGGUGACCGGCCACACUGGAACUGAGACACGGUCCAGACUCCUACGGGAGGCAGCAGUGGGGAAUAUUGCACAAUGGGCGAAAGCCUGAUGCAGCAACGCCGCGUGAGGGAUGAAGGCCUUCGGGUUGUAAACCUCUUUUAGCAGGGAAGAAGCGAAAGUGACGGUACCUGCAGAAAAAGCACCGGCUAACUACGUGCCAGCAGCCGCGGUAAUACGUAGGGUGCAAGCGUUGUCCGGAAUUAUUGGGCGUAAAGAGCUCGUAGGCGGUUUGUCGCGUCUGCUGUGAAAAUCCGAGGCUCAACCUCGGACCUGCAGUGGGUACGGGCAAACUAGAGUGCGGUAGGGGAGAUGGGAAUUCCUGGUGUAGCGGUGGAAUGCGCAGAUAUCAGGAGGAACACCGAUGGCGAAGGCACAUCUCUGGGCCGUAACUGACGCUGAGGAGCGAAAGCGUGGGGAGCGAACAGGAUUAGAUACCCUGGUAGUCCACGCCGUAAACGGUGGGUGCUAGUUGUGGGCUCCAUUCCACGGAGUCCGUGACGAAGUUAACACAUUAAGCACCCCCGCCUGGGGAGUACGG